Molecule: ribosomal RNA, 520 nt
Filed under: uncultured Glomus
Lineage: Eukaryota; Fungi; Glomeromycota; Glomeromycetes; Glomerales; Glomeraceae
Description: SSU rRNA
Rfam family: Eukaryotic small subunit ribosomal RNA
Source: RNAcentral
AGCAGCCGCGGUAAUUCCAGCUCCAAUAGCGUAUAUUAAAGUUGUUGCAGUUAAAAAAGCUCGUAGUUGAAUUUCGGGGUUAGUAGGCUGGUCGUGCCACUGGUAUGUACUGGUCUCACUGAUUCCUCCUUCCUGAUGGGCUGUAAUGCCAUUAAUUUGGUGUUGCAGGGAAUCUGGACUGUUACUUUGAAAAAAUUAGAGUGUUUAAAGCAGGCUAACGCUUGAAUACAUUAGCAUGGAAUAAUGAAAUAGGACGAUCGAACCUAUUUUGUUGGUUUCUAGGAUUGACGUAAUGAUUAAUAGGGAUAGUUGGGGGCAUUAGUAUUCAAUUGUCAGAGGUGAAAUUCUUGGAUUUAUUGAAGACUAACUACUGCGAAAGCAUUUGCCAAGGAUGUUUUCAUUAAUCAAGAACGAAAGUUAGGGGAGUCGAAGACGAUCAGAUACCGUCGUAGUCUUAACCAUAAACUAUGCCGACUAGGGAUCGGAUGAUGUUUAAUUUUUUAAUUGUACUCUAUUCGGU